AUUGAACGCUGGCGGCAGGCCUAACACAUGCAAGUCGAGCGGAUGAAGGGAGCUUGCUCCUGGAUUCAGCGGCGGACGGGUGAGUAAUGCCUAUGAAUCUGCCUGGUAGUGGGGGAUAACGUCCGGAAACGGGCGCUAAUACCGCAUACGUCCUGAGGGAGAAAGUGGGGGAUCUUCGGACCUCACGCUAUCAGAUGAGCCUAGGUCGGAUUAGCUAGUUGGUGGGGUGAAGGCCUACCAAGGCGACGAUCCGUAACUGGUCUGAGAGAAUGAUCAGUCGCACGGGAACUGAGACGCGGUCCAUGCGACUAAGGGACGCACCAGUCGGGAAUAUUGGACAAUGGGCGAAAGCAUUAUACAGUCAGGCCGAGCGUGAUACAGAGAUCUUCGGAUUGGAAAGCACGCUAAGUUGUGGGAAAGCGCAGUAGGCUGAGACCUUGCGGUAGUGACGUUAACAAGAGAAGAGGCACCGGCUAACUACGUG
Molecule: ribosomal RNA, 484 nt
Filed under: uncultured bacterium
Lineage: Bacteria
Description: partial 16S ribosomal RNA
Rfam family: Bacterial small subunit ribosomal RNA
Source: RNAcentral